Molecule: long non-coding RNA, 1291 nt
Organism: Frieseomelitta varia
Lineage: Eukaryota; Metazoa; Arthropoda; Insecta; Hymenoptera; Apidae
Exons: 4
Source: RefSeq, a predicted model, not a curated record
UCUGCAAUAUACGUAUACUCGGUUGAUUCAAAGGAGGCAAGGAAACAGCAGAUUGAACAAUUUAAAAGGAGGAAAAAAAGAAAAAAAAGAGGGGGACGAAGGAAGAAAUUAGGGGCAUGUGUGAAAGUUGAUCAUCUUCCUCGAGGCCUGGCCUCUUGAAUUAAACAUCCACCGGAGAAGAAUCAACAAUUAUCCUCUGAUCAAUCGGCAGGGAACGUUGGUCUCGAUCGACGACGAUGAUCAACAAUAUCUGUUAUGGAAAUACCGGCCCUCGAGAACUCAUUCUACGCUGUCUCGGAGCAAGUGUCACGCGCAUGAGUGACACGCAGUCACGGAAAGCGAUGAAACAAGUUGGAAACAGAAGAAGCAGAGAUUGCGUGAAGAAAAACGCUGUGAAUCCGAAACGAACGACUGCCCGUAUGUUUCGUGGCGCGACCGUAUUUCGAUGCGUAGGACGUAGACCUUAUCUAAAAGCCACCGAAGAGGUACUAGACGAGGGAAGUACUCUCUCGCCGCUCCCGUUCGUUAAUUCCUUUUCCACCGAUAAUCCACUCGUCGAAGCCGGUGGAGUUUCGGGCGUGCGGCGACUUCGAGAGGUCUACAAACAGCCUUAACUUGCCUCAACGCGUCCUUGCAUUCUCCGCUUUCGCGUGUCACCCUUUGCUCGAUUCCUUUUUGUCCUGCGAUCUGCUUGCCCUCGCGAGCUGGACGCGACCACCGCGAUUUCGCGAACGUUCCUUCGAGGGAAGCUUUUGGAUUCCAACUACGUCGGGGUCGUUGAAAAAAUUCGAGACACCCGAUGGAAGAACUGACGUUGGCGAAAUGAAAGAUUUCCAGAGAUUUCCAGAAGAAAAUGAAGGAUUAUUCAUUUGUCAACAGAGUAUCUAAUUGUAUGAAAGAAAGUGUAAAGAGAAGCGAAAUUUUUGGCGUUGAGUUGGGCACGUAUCGAUGUCUGAAAUUGUAUUCGAGGCAGAAGCGUACGGGCAACCGAUGGCAAAAGAUUUGACGCGGGAGAUGAAGACGACGGGAUGAACUCUGUCAGAGAGAAUUGUUAUUUCAAGGGAACGGCCUGUCCGUCAGUUCGUUUGUCCGUCGUUCCCGCAACGGCGCGGUGUGUAAACAGAGAAAGGGAUAUACAUACACACACACACACAUACAUACUGACUGACUGACUGGUGUGUACUCGCAGAAACCAUGGAAGAAAGAAAUUGGUGGCGAACGCCGCGCCGAUUCCCCGAGAUGGCGAGAGGAACAACUUGUAGACUCACGUCCAUCUAUGAAAGAACUAGGC